CGGGUGUAGCUCAGUUGGUUAGAGCGCCGCCCUGUCACGGCGGAGGCCGCGGGUUCGAGUCCCGUCACUC
RNAcentral lists this transfer RNA (70 nucleotides) under marine eukaryotic metagenome. It matches the Rfam family "tRNA". Rfam says of the family: Transfer RNA (tRNA) molecules are approximately 80 nucleotides in length. The record is from RNAcentral.